GGGGAAUAUUGCACAAUGGGGGAAACCCUGAUGCAGCGACGCCGCGUGAGUGAUGAAGUAUUUCGGUAUGUAAAGCUCUAUCAGCAGGGAAGAUAAUGACGGUACCUGACUAAGAAGCACCGGCUAAAUACGUGCCAGCAGCCGCGGUAAAACGUAGGGUGCAAGCGUUGUCCGGAAUUACUGGGUGUAAAGGGAGCGCAGGCGGGAAGACAAGUUGGAAGUGAAAACCAUGGGCUCAACCCAUGAAUUGCUUUCAAAACUGUUUUUCUUGAGUAGUGCAGAGGUAGAUGGAAUUCCCGGUGUAGCGGUGGAAUGCGUAGAUAUCGGGAGGAACACCAGUGGCGAAGGCGGUCUACUGGGCACCAACUGACGCUGAGGCUCGAAAGCAUGGGUAGCAAACAGGAUUAGAUACCCUGGUAGUCCAUGCCGUAAACGAUGAUUACUAGGUGUUGGGGGAUUGACCCCCUCAGUGCCGCAGUUAACACAAUAAGUAAUCCACCUGGGGAGUACGACCGCAAGGUUGAAACUCAAAGGAAUUGACGGGGGCCCGCACAAGCAGUGGAGUAUGUGGUUUAAUUCGAAGCAACGCGAAGAACCUUACCAGGUCUUGACAUCCGAUGCAUAACACAGAGAUGUGUGAAAUCCUUCGGGACAUCGAGACAGGUGGUGCAUGGUUGUCGUCAGCUCGUGUCGUGAGAUGUUGGGUUAAGUCCCGCAACGAGCGCAACCCUUAUUGCCAGUUACUACGUUAAGAGGACUCUGGCGAGACUGCCGUUGACAAAACGGAGGAAGGUGGGGAUGACGUCAAAUCAUCAUGCCCUUUAUGACCUGGGCUACACACGUACUACAAUGGCGUUAAACAAAGAGAAGCAAGACCGCGAGGUGGAGCAAAACUCAAAAACAACGUCUCAGUUCAGAUUGCAGGCUGCAACUCGCCUGCAUGAAGUCGGAAUUGCUAGUAAUCGCGGAUCAGCAUGCCGCGGUGAAUACGUUCCCG
RNAcentral lists this ribosomal RNA (997 nucleotides) under uncultured bacterium. RNAcentral's name for it is "bacterial SSU rRNA". It matches the Rfam family "Bacterial small subunit ribosomal RNA", at positions 356 to 1376 of the family's 1533-position model. The record is from RNAcentral.